RNAcentral lists this ribosomal RNA (374 nucleotides) under uncultured eukaryote. Its description in RNAcentral is "partial 18S ribosomal RNA". It matches the Rfam family "Eukaryotic small subunit ribosomal RNA", at positions 592 to 976 of the family's 1831-position model. The record is from RNAcentral.
CAAUAGCGUAUUUUUUGCUGUUGCCGUUAAAAAGCUGCUAAUUAAUUGGGUUUCUGUCAAGGACAACUGGUCCGCCCCCCCGGGUUUUGGUCUUGACAUCUUGCUGGAAGCUGUUGCUGCACUUGGCUGUGUGGCGCAGUGUUCAGCACUUUCACUUUGAGGAAAUUGGAGUGUUUCAAGCAGGCACAUGGCUGUGGACAUAGUAGCAUGGAAUAAUUAGAUCGGGUUUUUGCUCCAAUUUGUCGGUUUCUGAAGUUGAGAUGAGUAUUAAUGGGGAUUGUUGGGUGCAUCCGAAUUUAGUCGUCAGAGGUGAAAUUCUUGGAUUUUCAAUGACGAACAACCGCGAAAGCUUUUGCCGAGGAUGUUUUCAUUGA